CACGUGAUAUCCUGUCUGAAGAUGGGGGGACCAUCCUCCAAGGCUAAAUACUCCUGACUGACCGAUAGUGAACCAGUACCGUGAGGGAAAGGCGAAAAGAACCCCUGUGAGGGGAGUGAAAUAGAACCUGAAACCGUAUACGUACAAGCAGUAGGAGCAGACUUGUUCUGUGACUGCGUACCUUUUGUAUAAUGGGUCAGCGACUUAAUGUCAGUAGCAAGGUUAACCGUAUAGGGGAGCCGUAGGGAAACCGAGUCUUAAUAGGGCGAAUGAGUUG
RNAcentral lists this ribosomal RNA (277 nucleotides) under Euplotes focardii. RNAcentral describes it as "partial Bacterial large subunit ribosomal RNA". It matches the Rfam family "Bacterial large subunit ribosomal RNA", at positions 423 to 702 of the family's 2925-position model. The record is from RNAcentral. Lineage: Eukaryota; Ciliophora; Spirotrichea; Euplotida; Euplotidae.